Brienomyrus brachyistius is the source of this 1672-nucleotide long non-coding RNA. RefSeq lists it as uncharacterized. The transcript is spliced from 2 exons. The record is from RefSeq and is a predicted model, not a curated record. NCBI's taxonomy places the organism in Eukaryota, Metazoa, Chordata, Actinopteri, Osteoglossiformes, Mormyridae.
ACGAAUUGCAAAAGCUGUCAGCUGGAGCAACGAUCGAUACUGGGCAACUUGGGACAAGUGGAUGGAAGUGAUUGACUGGGAAGAUGAGGAAGAGCUGUGCUCCCCAGCAGAAUCACCCUCUGACCAGGCUGACCGUUCCAUCGUGUCACACACCCGAAAGCCAAUUGCCAAGGCAGUUAGCUGGACGGAUGAUGUGUAUUGGGCAGCCUGGGACAAGUGGGAUGAGAUCAUCUGCUGGGGUGAAGAAGGAGAGUGCUCCCCAGCAACUCCACCCAUCAACCAGCCUGGGAGGGAUAAGGGGUUAGACAUGCAUGGGUUAGAGGUUUUUCUGUUAAAUGAAAGGACAGUCUCCAUAAAGCCUGCAGAUGACCACCAAGACAGGCUGAAAAUAGGAGCCGUAGUGGUCGACCUCUGCCAGUUUGAGCUAGAUGGUGUAAAUGAUAAAUUUGAAAUUGUCGAAAUACAAAUUGGAGAGGUCAAAUUGGAGGAGACUGCAGAGAGGGGUUUUAAUUCAGAAUUUGAAUUGGAAAUUUUGGAUGUGGAGAUAGAGGUUGUAGACAGUGAAUUCCAGCUGAAUGCUCUUAAUUGGGAAAUUGCUGGAACUAAAGUGGACAAAUUAUUAGUGGAACACCUGAACAUAAAUAAUCUAGAAGCAGGCAGUGUGAAGGUGUCCACAUCAAAUGGGAAUGUGGUAUAUGUCAAUGGUAUGUGAGUGUGUUUGGUAAUGAUGGGUGUGAAUGGUGUUGGUGUGUGUGUGUGUGUGUGUGUAUGAGAAUGGUGAUUGAAUGGUGUGUGUGAGGUAAUGGCGUGUGAGUGAAUGGUGUGUGUGAGUGACAGGUGUGUGAAUGGUGUGUGUGAGGUAAUGGCAUGUGUGAGUGAGUGUGAGUGGUAAUGGCGUGUGUGAGUGAAUGGUGUGUGUGAGUAUAUGGUGUAUGUGAAUGGUCUAUGUGUGUGUGAAUGGGGAGUGAAUGGUGUGUGAGUGACUGGUGUGUGUCUGGUGUUUAUGAAUGGUGUGUGUGAGUGAAUGCUGUGUGAAUGGUGUUUAUGAAUGGUGUGUGUGUGAGUGAAUGCUGUGUGAGUGACUGGUGUGUGAAUGGUGUUUAUGAAUGGUGUGUGAAUGAAUGGUGAGUUUUUGUGUGUGUGUUUGUGUGUGUGUGUGUGUGUGAAUGAUCUGUGUGUGUGAGCCUGCCCUGUGAUGGGUUGGUGUCCCAUCCUGGGUUGUUCCCUGCCUCGUGCCUGUAGCCUCUGGGAUCCAUCUGACCGCCUGUUCCAAAAGGCAAAUUGAUCCCCACAUCCCUGAACAGGAGAAGCGGUUUUAGAAAAUGGAUAAAUGUUCCCAGAGGUGUGAGGCAACAGUGCUAACCACUGUACCAUGCAUAUGUAUAGGAUAUGUAGAAGAAUACCUGUUGCAGUUAUCUGAUGUGUGUGUUUUUCACUCUCCCUGUCGGCCCCUGGAGGUUUGGGCUUCCCCUUUGAGUCUGGUGCCUCCCAAGGUUUCUUCCUUCUAGGGAGUUUUUCCUUGCCACUGUCGCCUAUGGCUUACUCACUGGGGGCUUUGGGUGGGGGUGCUCUAAAGCGCUUUGAGACAAUGUAAUGUUGUGAUAUCGUGCUAUACUUUGUUGUGUAAUUUUCUAUUUACUCAUGCAAAUAAAUAAUUGUUUGAUAACAAAAA